CGACUGCAAGACGACGUGAAUGGGCUUGGGCCCGUUCCCUGAAUUGGCCAGGGCCCAGGAAAGUCCCCGGGUCAUUUCUGCAGAGAUGCAGGCCUGGAAACGGGUUAGCUUCACGGGCUUAGGAGUCCAAUCUUGCACUUGUGAGAUGGGCCGAGACGAGGUGGAGCCUAUGGACUCCUACCGGAAGCGUUAUUGGCCGAUGAUUACAGUUAUUCACGUGGUCCAGUCUAAACUGGACUAACUGAACGGGGCUUAUGUUCUUGCGGUC
This is a non-coding RNA of Nicotiana attenuata, 268 nucleotides long. It matches the Rfam family "RNase MRP". Rfam says of the family: RNase MRP is an enzymatically active ribonucleoprotein with two distinct roles in eukaryotes. In mitochondria it plays a direct role in the initiation of mitochondrial DNA replication. In the nucleus it is involved in precursor rRNA processing, where it cleaves the internal transcribed spacer 1 between 18S and 5.8S rRNAs. The record is from Rfam. NCBI's taxonomy places the organism in Eukaryota, Viridiplantae, Streptophyta, Magnoliopsida, Solanales, Solanaceae.